UAAUACGUAGGGUGCAAGCGUUGUCCGGAAUUACUGGGCGUAAAGAGUUCGUAGGCGGUUUGUCGCGUCGUUUGUGAAAACCAGCAGCUCAACUGCUGGCUUGCAGGCGAUACGGGCAGACUUGAGUACUGCAGGGGAGACUGGAAUUCCUGGUGUAGCGGUGAAAUGCGCAGAUAUCAGGAGGAACACCGGUGGCGAAGGCGGGUCUCUGGGCAGUAACUGACGCUGAGGAACGAAAGCGUGGGUAGCGAACAGG
Molecule: ribosomal RNA, 256 nt
Filed under: uncultured bacterium
Lineage: Bacteria
Description: partial 16S ribosomal RNA
Rfam family: Bacterial small subunit ribosomal RNA
Source: RNAcentral